UACGGGGGGGGCAAGCGUUGUUCGGAAUUACUGGGCGUAAAGGGUUAGUAGGUGGCCAACUAAGUCAGACGUGAAAUCCCUCAGCUCAACUGGGGAACUGCGUCUGAGACUGAUUGGCUCGAGGACAGGAGAGGAACGCGGAAUUCCAGGUGUAGCGGUGAAAUGCGUAGAUAUCUGGAGGAACACCGGUGGCGAAGGCGGCGUUCUGGACUGUUUCUGACACUGAAUAACGAAAGCCAGGGGAGCAAACGGG
This 253-nucleotide ribosomal RNA is filed under the name uncultured bacterium. RNAcentral's name for it is "partial 16S ribosomal RNA". It matches the Rfam family "Bacterial small subunit ribosomal RNA", at positions 524 to 776 of the family's 1533-position model. The record is from RNAcentral.